This 365-nucleotide unclassified non-coding RNA is filed under the name uncultured bacterium. RNAcentral describes it as "contains 16S-23S intergenic spacer region". The record is from RNAcentral.
UCCCCAUUAACUGAGGCAGUUUCCUGUGAAAAAUACAACACAGGAUGCGGGUUGCGCUCGUUGACCGACUGAACGGGACACUUCACAGCACGAGCUGACGACAACCGUGCAACACCUGUCACCGAGUUCCUUACGGCACGGUCCUGUUUCCAGGACUUUCUCGGGAUGUCAAACCUUGGUGAGGUUCUUCGCUUAGUAUCGAAUUAAACCACACGCUCCACCACUUGUGCAGGUCCCCGUCAAUUCCUUUGAGUUUUAAACUUGCGUUCGUACUCCCCAGGCGGCUGACUUAACGCGUUAGCUACGGUCCAAAAGGGGGUCGAUACCCUCCAAGACCUAGUCAGCAUCGUUUACGGCGUGGACUA